AUGCGAGCCAAGCUCUGGUCGGUCCGAAUUGGGCGGCAGGAGGAAUCGGGGCGCGUCCGCGGGCGCCCAGAUCGGGGGUUCCAGCUGGCUCCCCCCGGCGCCAUGGCCGCCGACUCCAGCAUGGGGUUCCACCAGGGGAUCACCGCCGCCGCCUCGGUCUACAACCACCAUCACCACCACCACAACAACAUGCUCUCCUUUCAGUCGUCCAGCAGCGACAUCACCAUGGGGGGUGGCGGCGGCGCCGGGAUGGGGCUCGUCAGCAUGAGCGGCGGGCCGAGCAGCACCGCCGGCCUGUACCACUCUUCUCCAAACAACCACAGCAGCAACAACAACGGCGGUGUGUUCGGAAACGUGCCGGUGGUUCUCCAGUCGAGGAGCUCGCCGGGGGGCGUCGCGUCCCGUGGCGGCGGCGGCACCACCGCGUCCAAGUACAAGUUCGUCACCGGCUCGCCUUCCGAGUGGAGCGACCGCGAGCUGAGUAUACUCAACGAAGGGCUCACCAGAUAUGCUCCUGAACCUAAUAUCAUGAGGUACAUCAAGAUAGCCGCUAUGCUGCCCAACAGAACCAUCAGGGAUGUUGCAUUGCGAUGCUGGUGGGCUGCAGGUAAAGAUAGAAGGAAGAAACCAGAAGGUUUUUUUACCGGGAAAAAGAUGAGAGAUAUGAAGCCAAUGCAGGACAAAAUAUUUGCAUCUGCCGCCCCUAUGGCUAAUUUUCACAUGGCACCUACAAACAACUUGACCCCUUUCUCAAUAUCGAUGCAAAAUCCAAACCAGCAGUGUCAAGUUCCCAAGGAAGCUCCUGUUGUGGACAGUGCAACCCAGCAGCUCCUGGAGGAAAACAAUCAAUUGCUUAACCAGAUUGCUGCAAAUAUUGAAACAUUCAAGACGGGGGAGAGCAUGGAUCUCUUUCUUCGGACAAAUAGCAACAUCAAAACAAUUUUAAGCAGAAUGAGCGAGACACCUGGCAUCAUGGGUCAGAUGCCUCCUCUGCAAGAACUUGCACAUGAGGACAAGCUUAAUUCACUUCUUCAAGUUGAUAGAAUGGUCCAAUCUUAUGGCGCAGCACACAGCUCACAUAUGAAGGAAGAGCCUCGAAGCUAA
This 1104-nucleotide ribosomal RNA is filed under the name Triticum aestivum (bread wheat). Its description in RNAcentral is "partial small subunit ribosomal RNA". The record is from RNAcentral. Lineage: Eukaryota; Viridiplantae; Streptophyta; Magnoliopsida; Poales; Poaceae.